This 625-nucleotide long non-coding RNA is filed under the name Chinchilla lanigera (long-tailed chinchilla). Its description in RNAcentral is "lncRNA (ENSCLAG00000023281.1)". The record is from RNAcentral. Lineage: Eukaryota; Metazoa; Chordata; Mammalia; Rodentia; Chinchillidae.
AUGUCUUGUAUCACAGGGAGGAAGGUGGCAUAUCAGCUGUGUCUGGUACUGAUUCAGGUGGUAGAAUCAUUAGAAGUCUUUAAAGCGAAUCAGAAUAUGAAAUAUGGAACUUCGGCUCUUCAGAAAACACCAGAAGCAAGACAGCUACAUCGAUCUUCUCUCAUCCUUCUACCCUGAAGCUGGUCUUAAAACCUCAUUUGAUGGUUGCCUUUCCACACCUGGAAGAAAGAAGCUGAAGACACAGACACACCCAGGACAAUCCUAACAAACAAACGUUGCUAAAUUAUGACACACUUGAGCUUUUCAGUCAGAUUUCUCCCCACUCGGCCACUGUUUGUUAAAUCUAAGCCUAAAAAUACAGAAAAUUAGCAACUUAUUUGGAUUUCUGUUUCCUUAUGAAGUAUACUGUAUGUCCUAAAACGUCAAUAAAUGAAUUUGCUUUUGUUUGCUAAUUUGCCUUUUGUUUACAGGGCCCAGAGCCUGUAUGUAGCCAUGGUGAGGAAAAGUAAUCUCUCAUACUCUCAACUCUAUAUUUAAGCUAAAUAACACCUCCUUAUCUCCCAUUUUAAUAAAGUACGUAGAAUCUAACUUUAUUUCUAGUCAGUGCACAGAAAGUCAAUGUGUC